UACGUAGGGGGCAAGCGUUGUCCGGAUUUAUUGGGCGUAAAGAGCGUGUAGGCGGCCUGGUAGGUCAGCUGUGAAAACUCGAGGCUCAACCUCGAGACGCCGGUUGAAACCAUCAGGCUAGAGUCCGGAAGAGGAGAGUGGAAUUCCAGGUGUAGCGGUGAAAUGCGCAGAUAUCUGGAAGAACACCCGUGGCUAAGGCGGCUCUCUAGUACGGUACUGACGCUGAGACGCGAAAGCGUGGGGAGCGAACAGG
Molecule: ribosomal RNA, 253 nt
Filed under: uncultured bacterium
Lineage: Bacteria
Description: partial 16S ribosomal RNA
Rfam family: Bacterial small subunit ribosomal RNA
Source: RNAcentral